GACGAACGCUGGCGGCGCGCUUAACACAUGCAAGUCGAGCGAGAACCAGGGCUUCGGCUCUGGGGACAGCGGCGAACGGGUGAGUAACACGUGAGUAAUCUGCCCUCGACACUGGGAUAGCCCGGGGAAACCCGGAUUAAUACCGGAUAGCCUUUCGAGCUCUCGGGCUCGUCAGAAAAGGAUGGCUUCGGCUUUCGGUU
RNAcentral lists this ribosomal RNA (200 nucleotides) under uncultured bacterium. RNAcentral describes it as "partial 16S ribosomal RNA". It matches the Rfam family "Bacterial small subunit ribosomal RNA", at positions 28 to 220 of the family's 1533-position model. The record is from RNAcentral.